This 81-nucleotide transfer RNA is filed under the name Paragonimus westermani. RNAcentral describes it as "tRNA-Cys". It matches the Rfam family "tRNA". Rfam says of the family: Transfer RNA (tRNA) molecules are approximately 80 nucleotides in length. Their secondary structure includes four short double-helical elements and three loops (D, anti-codon, and T loops). Lineage: Eukaryota; Metazoa; Platyhelminthes; Trematoda; Plagiorchiida; Troglotrematidae. The record is from RNAcentral.
GGCUACGUAGCUCAGCUGGUAGAGCGCUUGUCACAUCCAGACAUGCCGUGUCUGUCGCUGGUUCGAAUCUAGCCGAAGCCU